UACGUAGGGUGCGAGCGUUAAUCGGAAUUACUGGGCGUAAAGCGUGCGCAGGCGGUCUGUUAAGACCGAUGUGAAAUCCCUGGGCUCAACCCAGGAACUGCACUCGAAAACUGCCUUUCUUGAGUGCCGGAGAGGAAAGCGGAAUACCUGGUGUAGAGGUGAAAUUCGUAGAUAUCAGGUGGAACACCAGUGGCGAAGGCGGCUUUCUGGACGGUAACUGACGCUGAGACGCGAAAGCGUGGGGAGCAAACAGG
This 254-nucleotide ribosomal RNA is filed under the name uncultured bacterium. RNAcentral's name for it is "partial 16S ribosomal RNA". It matches the Rfam family "Bacterial small subunit ribosomal RNA", at positions 524 to 776 of the family's 1533-position model. The record is from RNAcentral.